UUAUGUUGCCUCGGCGGAUCAGCCCGCGCCCCGUAAAAAGGGACGGCCCGCCGCAGGAACCCUAAACUCUGUUUUUAGUGGAACUUCUGAGUAUAAAAAACAAAUAAAUCAAAACUUUCAACAACGGAUCUCUUGGUUCUGGCAUCGAUGAAGAACGCAGCAAAAUGCGAUAAGUAAUGUGAAUUGCAGAAUUCAGUGAAUCAUCGAAUCUUUGAACGCACAUUGCGCCCGCCAGUAUUCUGGCGGGCAUGCCUGUUCGAGCGUCAUUUCAACCCUCAAGCCCAGCUUGGUGUUGGGAGCUGCAGUCCUGCUGCACUCCCCAAAUACAUUGGCGGUCACGUCGAGCUUCCAUAGCGUAGUAAUUUACACAUCGUUACUGGUAAUCGUCGCGGCCACGCCGUUAAACCCCAACUUCUGAAUGUUGACCUCGGAUCAGGUAGGAAUACCCGCUGAACUUAAGCAUAU
RNAcentral lists this ribosomal RNA (465 nucleotides) under Fusarium graminearum. RNAcentral's name for it is "eukaryotic LSU rRNA". The stretch from base 113 to 266 matches the Rfam family "5.8S ribosomal RNA". The record is from RNAcentral. Lineage: Eukaryota; Fungi; Ascomycota; Sordariomycetes; Hypocreales; Nectriaceae.